RNAcentral lists this ribosomal RNA (329 nucleotides) under uncultured bacterium. Its description in RNAcentral is "bacterial SSU rRNA". It matches the Rfam family "Bacterial small subunit ribosomal RNA", at positions 568 to 898 of the family's 1533-position model. The record is from RNAcentral.
UCCGUAGGCGGUGUGGCAAGUCGGAAGUGAAAUCUCUGGGCUUAACUCAGAGGCUGCUUCCGAAACUGCCGUGCUAGAGUGCGAGAGAGGCAAGUGGAAUUGCGGGUGUAGCGGUGAAAUGCGUAGAUAUCCGCAGGAACAUCCGAGGCGAAAGCGGCUUGCUGGAUCGCAACUGACGCUGAGGGACGAAAGCUAGGGGAGCAAACAGGAUUAGAUACCCUGGUAGUCCUAGCCCUAAACCAUCAGGACUUGGGUUUGCCCUGUACGGGGCAAGUCCCGUAGCUAACGCGUUAAGUCCUGCGCCUGGGGAGUACGGUCGCAAGGCUGAA